RNAcentral lists this ribosomal RNA (1575 nucleotides) under sediment metagenome. RNAcentral describes it as "bacterial LSU rRNA". It matches the Rfam family "Bacterial large subunit ribosomal RNA", at positions 423 to 1977 of the family's 2925-position model. The record is from RNAcentral.
GAUGACGAUCGUGACUGGAGUUCAGACGUGUGCUCUUCCGAUCUAAGUACUUCCAGGUGACCGAUAGCGGACUAGUACCGUGAGGGAAAGGUGAAAAGAACCCCGGAAGGGGAGUGAAAUAGAACCUGAAACUGUGUGCCUACAAGAGGUCGGAGCAUCCUUGUGGUGUGACGGCGUGCUUUUUGCAUAACGAGCCUGCGAGUUGCUCGUAUGCGGCGAGGUUAAGCGAUGAGCGGAGCCGUAGCGAAAGCGAGUCCGAAUAGGGCGUUUUAGUCGUAUGCGGCAGACCCGAAACUGAGUGAGCUACCCAUGGGCAGGUUGAAGCGGGGGUAAGACCUCGUGGAGGACCGAACCCACGUAAGGUGAAAUUUGCGGGGAUGACCUGUGGGUCGGAGUGAAAGGCUAAUCAAACUCAGUGAUAUCUGGUUCUCUCCGAAAUAUAUUUAGGUAUAGCCUCCGGUAAAUUUGCGUGUCGGCUGUAGAGCUACUGUUUGGUCUAGGGGCCCUACCAGGUUACCGAAACCAGGCAAACUCCGAAGACCGAUACGUCUACCCGGGGAGUCAGUUGCUGGGGGAUAAACUUCAGCGUCAAAAGGGAAACAGCCCAGAUCGCCGGCUAAGGUCCCUAAGUGCAUGCUAAGUGGGUAACGAUGUCUGAGUGCAUAGACAACCAGGAGGUUGGCUUAGAGGCAGCCAUCCUUGAAAGAGUGCGUAACAGCUCACUGGUCUAGUGUUCGGGCGCGGACAAUUCAACGGGGCUCAAGCAUGCCACCGAAGCUGCGGGCUUCACCUUUGGGUGGAGCGGUAGGAGAGCGUUCCCGUGUCGUUGAAGCGGCCGCGUAAGCGAGUCGUGGAGAAGCGGGAAGUGAGAAUGCAGGCAUAAGUAACGAAAGAAGAGUGAGAAUCUCUUCCACCGAUUUCCUAAGGAUUCCUGAGCAACGUUCGUCGGCUCAGGGUUAGUCGGGACCUAAGGCGAGGCCGAAAGGCGUAGUCGAUGGAUAACAGGUUGAUAUUCCUGUACCGCGUCGCACCCGUUUGACUGAUGGGGGGACGAGUGAGGCUAGGGGUAGCAGGCGAUGGUUGUUCCUGCACCAAGUUGCGUAGGGGUGGGUCUAGGCAAAUCCGGACCCGCAUAACCUGAGGCACGAUGGCAGCUGGCGUUCGCGCCGGCGAGUCCCUGACGCCAUGGCUCCAAGAAAAGCCUCUAGGGAGGUUGCGCGCGCCCGUACCAAAACCGACACAGGUGGGAAAGUAGAGAAUACUAAGGUGAUCGAGAUAACCCUCGUUAAGGAACUCGGCAAAAUUGCUCCGUAACUUCGGGAGAAGGAGCGCCCCGGUAACGUGAAGCCCUUUCGGGUGGAGCGUGAGGGGGCCGCAGUGAAUAGGUUCAACCGACUGUUUACCAAAAACACAGGUCUCUGCAAAGUCGUAAGACGACGUAUAGGGGCUGACGCCUGCCCGGUGCCGGAAGGUUACGUGGAGUUGUUAGUCGCAAGGCGAAGCAGCGAAACUAAGCCCCGGUAAACGGCGGCCGUAACUAUAACGGUCCUAAGGUAGCGAAAUUCCUUGUCGGGU